AGUCAUAUGCUUGUCUCAAAGAUUAAGCCAUGCAUGUCUCAGUACAAGCCACAUUAAGGUGAAACCGCGAAAGGCUCAUUAAAUCAGUUAUGGUUCCUUAGAUCGUACCCACACUUACUUGGAUAACUGUGGUAAUUCUAGAGCUAAUACAUGCAAACAGAGCUCCGACCGGAGACGGGAGGAGUGCUUUUAUUAGAUCAAAACCAAUCGGCGGCGGGCGCGUUCGCGCGUCCGUUCGCCGCUCAACCUGGUGACUCUGAAUAACUUUCGGCUGAUCGCACGGUCUCGCACCGGCGACGCAUCUUUCAAAUGUCUGCCUUAUCAACUGUCGAUGGUAGGUUCUGCGCCUACCAUGGUCGUAACGGGUAACGGGGAAUCAGGGUUCGAUUCCGGAGAGGGAGCCUGAGAAACGGCUACCACAUCCAAGGAAGGCAGCAGGCGCGCAAAUUACCCACUCCCGGCACGGGGAGGUAGUGACGAAAAAUAACGAUACGGGACUCAUCCGAGGCCCCGUAAUCGGAAUGAGUACACUUUAAAUCCUUUAACAAGGAUCAAUUGGAGGGCAAGUCUGGUGCCAGCAGCCGCGGUAAUUCCAGCUCCAAUAGCGUA
Molecule: ribosomal RNA, 609 nt
Filed under: Hydroporus bithynicus
Lineage: Eukaryota; Metazoa; Arthropoda; Insecta; Coleoptera; Dytiscidae
Description: SSU rRNA
Rfam family: Eukaryotic small subunit ribosomal RNA
Source: RNAcentral